Molecule: transfer RNA, 73 nt
Filed under: Bacteroidaceae bacterium
Lineage: Bacteria; Pseudomonadati; Bacteroidota; Bacteroidia; Bacteroidales; Bacteroidaceae
Description: tRNA-Cys
Rfam family: tRNA
About the family: Transfer RNA (tRNA) molecules are approximately 80 nucleotides in length. Their secondary structure includes four short double-helical elements and three loops (D, anti-codon, and T loops). Further hydrogen bonds mediate the characteristic L-shaped molecular structure. tRNAs have two regions of fundamental functional importance: the anti-codon, which is responsible for specific mRNA codon recognition, and the 3' end, to which the tRNAs corresponding amino acid is attached (by aminoacyl-tRNA synthetases). tRNAs cope with the degeneracy of the genetic code in two manners: having more than one tRNA (with a specific anti-codon) for a particular amino acid; and 'wobble' base-pairing, i.e. permitting non-standard base-pairing at the 3rd anti-codon position.
Source: RNAcentral
GCCCGGAUGGUGAAGUGGCUAACACGUCGGUCUGCAAAACCGAUAUACGCAGGUUCGAAUCCUGCUCCAGGCU